This 253-nucleotide ribosomal RNA is filed under the name uncultured bacterium. Its description in RNAcentral is "partial 16S ribosomal RNA". It matches the Rfam family "Bacterial small subunit ribosomal RNA", at positions 524 to 776 of the family's 1533-position model. The record is from RNAcentral.
UACAGAGGUCCCAAGCGUUGUUCGGAUUCAUUGGGCGUAAAGGGUGCGUAGGUGGCGUCGUAAGUCGGGUGUGAAAUCUCGGGGCUUAACUCCGAAACUGCAUUCGAUACUGCGGUGCUUGAGGACUGGAGAGGAGACUGGAAUUUACGGUGUAGCGGUGAAAUGCGUAGAUAUUGGGAGGAACACCAGUGGCGAAGGCGGCUCACUGGACCGGAACUGACGCUGAGGCGCGAAAGCGUGGGGAGCAAACAGG